CCUACGGGGGGCAGCAGUGGGGAAUUUUGGACAAUGGGCGCAAGCCUGAUCCAGCAAUGCCGCGUGAGUGAAGAAGGCCUUCGGGUUGUAAAGCUCUUUUGUCAGGGAAGAAACGGCUGUGGCUAAUAUCCACGGCUAAUGACGGUACCUGAAGAAUAAGCACCGGCUAACUACGUGCCAGCAGCCGCGGUAAUACGUAGGGUGCAAGCGUUAAUCGGAAUUACUGGGCGUAAAGCGUGCGCAGGCGGUUUUGUAAGUCUGUCGUGAAAUCCCCGGGCUCAACCUGGGAAUUGCGAUGGAGACUGCAAGGCUAGAAUCUGGCAGAGGGGGGUAGAAUUCCACGUGUAGCAGUGAAAUGCGUAGAGAUGUGGAGGAACACCGAUGGCGAAGGCAGCCCCCUGGGUCAAGAUUGACGCUCAUGCACGAAAGCGUGGGGAGCAAACAGGAUUAGAUACCCGGGUAGUC
Molecule: ribosomal RNA, 465 nt
Filed under: uncultured bacterium
Lineage: Bacteria
Description: bacterial SSU rRNA
Rfam family: Bacterial small subunit ribosomal RNA
Source: RNAcentral